This 636-nucleotide ribosomal RNA is filed under the name Staphylococcus aureus. RNAcentral's name for it is "partial 23S ribosomal RNA". It matches the Rfam family "Bacterial large subunit ribosomal RNA", at positions 1333 to 1964 of the family's 2925-position model. The record is from RNAcentral. Lineage: Bacteria; Bacillati; Bacillota; Bacilli; Caryophanales; Staphylococcaceae.
UCCACCGAUUGACUAAGGUUUCCAGAGGAAGGCUCGUCCGCUCUGGGUUAGUCGGGUCCUAAGCUGAGGCCGACAGGCGUAGGCGAUGGAUAACAGGUUGAUAUUCCUGUACCACCUAUAAUCGUUUUAAUCGAUGGGGGGACGCAGUAGGAUAGGCGAAGCGUGCGAUUGGAUUGCACGUCUAAGCAGUAAGGCUGAGUAUUAGGCAAAUCCGGUACUCGUUAAGGCUGAGCUGUGAUGGGGAGAAGACAUUGUGUCUUCGAGUCGUUGAUUUCACACUGCCGAGAAAAGCCUCUAGAUAGAAAAUAGGUGCCCGUACCGCAAACCGACACAGGUAGUCAAGAUGAGAAUUCUAAGGUGAGCGAGCGAACUCUCGUUAAGGAACUCGGCAAAAUGACCCCGUAACUUCGGGAGAAGGGGUGCUCUUUAGGGUUAACGCCCAGAAGAGCCGCAGUGAAUAGGCCCAAGCGACUGUUUAUCAAAAACACAGGUCUCUGCUAAACCGUAAGGUGAUGUAUAGGGGCUGACGCCUGCCCGGUGCUGGAAGGUUAAGAGGAGUGGUUAGCUUCUGCGAAGCUACGAAUCGAAGCCCCAGUAAACGGCGGCCGUAACUAUAACGGUCCUAAGGUAGCGAAA